This 463-nucleotide ribosomal RNA is filed under the name uncultured bacterium. RNAcentral describes it as "partial 16S ribosomal RNA". It matches the Rfam family "Bacterial small subunit ribosomal RNA", at positions 28 to 507 of the family's 1533-position model. The record is from RNAcentral.
GAUGAACGCUGACAGAAUGCUUAACACAUGCAAGUCUUUGGCGAAGCUGUGCUUGCACCGCCUAGCCAAGGCGGACGGGUGAGUAACGCGUAAGGAACUUGCCCUGCAGUCAGGGAUAACAGACGGAAACGACUGAUAAGACCUGGUAAAGUCAGGCGGACUCAUGUCCAGCCUGAUGAAAAGAGAUGCUGCAGGAGAGCCUUGCGUCCUAUUAGCUUGUUGGUGGGGUAACGGCCCACCAAGGCGAUGAUAGGUAGCCGGCCUGAGAGGGUGGACGGCCACAAGGGGACUGAGAUACGGCCCUUACUCCUACGGGAGGCAGCAGUGGGGAAUAUUGGACAAUGGGGGCAACCCUGAUCCAGCAAUUCUGUGUGAACGAUGAAGGUUUUCGGAUUGUAAAGUGCUUUCAGAAGGGAAGAAAAAAAUGACGGUACCUGCAGAAGAAGCGACGGCUAAAUACGUG